ACAAACCGGCUUCAACUGUGGGCAUAGACAUAAGACGCGUUCAAGUUGACCUCCUGCUGCCUGACUGCAUCAGCGAGAUCUGCUGGCGACUGCAGGGGCGGGGCUACAAACGCUGCUAUGAAGUCGGACACUCUCUCUUCCCGUAGACGUGACGUGACUUGGCUGAGCUUGCGGUGUUCUUCUUCUUCUGGGAUUCCGGCAGGCUGUACGCUAUCCAGCGUAAUGCUGCCCUCCACUGGUCGUAACCAGAACUACUUAAAGGAACUUGGGGCAGGAUCACGAAAUAAGACUCAAUAGCGACACGACGGCCGUUUGGGUAACUGCAGCCAUCAGCCAAGCCGGCGCGGGAGCGCGCAUGAACUCUUCACAGCAGUGCAGCUGAUGCUGUGACACGGUUAUUUGUUUGCUCGCUGUUCACGCGACCGUUUACUGCAAGAAUUCCUCGCAUACCUCCGCGGAACUACCUUGGUAGCCUACAUCAGCGAACAGCAUGAUGUCAAGAGACGAAGAUUUGGAAUUGACUCUGGAAGGAGUGGCACACAUGGAGAUGUACUGCCUGGAUGAGGGUACACUGCGUCUGGUUAGGAUGACGUGGAACAACAUCUUUGCUCUGGAGGACAGCCAAGAUGUGGGCAGCGAUAACCGAGAGUUUCGGUUUGCUUCCUACCGGCGAUUUACGAUCUGGCAGGAUGGGCAUCAGAGAAGAGGGAACUGAAGGCCGAUACCAAGCUGCUGUGUUCUUCGUAUCUGGUUAAACUUCCCUGACCCCUUUGCAAACUACACAGGUUACAAAGAAGCUCCAUUUAGGGUGCAUGACUGAUAUUUUCUGCUGUUUUGUGUCCCUGUGACCACAAUACCUAAAAAAAAAACCAUUUCUUAGCCAAAGAUUACACUUUCAUCCAAAAAUAAAAACAAUUUAUGUACAUUAUGUAUUUUUAUAUUUAUUUUCAAAGUUUACGGUAUUUUUCAAAUUUGCAGUAUGUACAAAGUUUUAUUUUGUAUUUUUUUUUACAUGUUUAUAAUAAAAUAAAUGUGUGGUAAACAAGACAGUCUUGUCUUCUCUCUUUUCUUGCUCACGUCUCUGGAUCAUGUAGCUGAGGCCUUUAUGGAGAGAAGAGAACAGUAGCAUUAGAACACAUACCAAUGCUCCAUAAUCAAAUCUGGUAAUUAUUAUGUUAUAUUAUAACAUUUUACAAUGUUUUGUCUAUAUUCUGAAAAGAUUGAAAUUCCUAAUGACCAAAACUUAGAAAGUGAAAACAUACUAACCCCACAGACACUGGUUCAAUUGGUGAUAAUCGAUGAGAGAGUUUAGCAGCUAUUCGCUUGCUGGGUGUUGAUGCUCUCAUCUCCUUACUUCCUCGAGUAGCAGCUUCAGGAGUCUGCUUCUUCUGAUAGCUGGAAAACAGCAAUAUUUUAAAAAGUUAGAGUCAGUCAGCAAGCUGGCUGUGACUCUGCUACCUUGGUGUCUUUUCUCUUUGGUCAGAACAACUAUGGCCAUGCAAUGUUUGCCUGUAACAAUAAUAAUAUCAAAAUACAUGCCUCAGUCAGUACUAUUGUGUGUUUCACUUUUACAAACAAAUUUCUCCUGCUUUACUUACAACGUAAUGUAUAAUGUCUGGAGCAAUCUUGUGUGUAUGGUACAACACGAGAAAAAUAAAGGCUAAAAGCUCUAUUGAUGAGUUGAGACCACUCUUUUAGCCCACCCACCCCAAAGGACUCAACCACACAGACGUGCUUCACAAGCAAGGUCGUAAUAAUAAUAACAAUAAUAAUAACUUUAUCAGACCUGUAGACACGCACAAUAUCAAUUAUUAUAUAGCACCACCUGAGCUCGUUUACAUUGUGCACUUCACGGUUAGCUCUAAACUGCCUUUUAUUCAGCUACAUCACAACAGUUAUCAUCAACUCGUCAACACAAUAGCCCCCAAGCCAUAGCCUGUAAAUACCGUUACUGUACACCCCAAAUACUGUAUUUACCAGGGACAGGAACGAGACGGGAGCCGGUGCUGUGUGUAUGAUAUAUUUCACUGUACAGAUUGUAAAGCCCACUGAGGCAAUGUGAUUGUGAUUUUGGGCUAUAUAAAUAAAAUUGAUUUGAUAGCCGUAUCCCCUACACUCACGAAGCAGCCGGGAAGCCGGCUCGCUGUGUGUAGCUAGCGGCUAAUAUGACUACACAGACCCAAACAAACCGUUAGCCUGUUGCUACAGCCAGCUGCUAACGUCACCUCCCAGAUACAAGUUGGGCUUUCGGUCCCAUAUCUAAAAGGGCACAUUUCUAACUAUUCGGUUUCAGACUGAAGGACCGUGGAAAAUGCGCAGUCUGUAACUUCUCAGUGUUACAAGCAGUGGACUAAGUUACAUGUUAGCGGCUAGCGCUACGUUAGAAGCUGACGCUACUUUGCACUUUAGCUCACUCCGAGUCCUCGGUGAUCUCAUAAGAUUUUCAAAUCAAGCUCUAAAAAUGACCUGUAAUGUAUUCUUACCUGGUUACAAGGAAAUUAGCCAUGUCAGCAUCCGUUUUCAGUCCCAGUUCAAGCUGAAGCUGCCUCCAUGAGUCGAAGGCAUAUCUAAUGUAUAUUCGCGUGCCAGCCCGGCUUUAGUCAUAACUUCUUUUAGACUCACGACUUGCUACUGAUAAAAACCUUCGUUUUCUUCUUCGUAUUACUUUUUGGUGGACUUUGUGUGGUGGUGGGUCGUUUUCCGGCCGUAGCAGAGUCCAUAACAACACAAACAGUAUUUCCGGUCCACCGCACUUGUCUUCUUCCGGUCUCCAAGCCGUCGAGGACGCGCAUUCAGCG
This 2798-nucleotide long non-coding RNA is filed under the name Sparus aurata (gilthead seabream). RNAcentral describes it as "lncRNA (ENSSAUG00010005110.1)". The record is from RNAcentral. Lineage: Eukaryota; Metazoa; Chordata; Actinopteri; Spariformes; Sparidae.